UGAAUGACACUUAACAGGCACACCCGGUCC
RNAcentral lists this non-coding RNA (30 nucleotides) under Homo sapiens (human). The record is from RNAcentral. Lineage: Eukaryota; Metazoa; Chordata; Mammalia; Primates; Hominidae.